Molecule: unclassified non-coding RNA, 313 nt
Filed under: Hevea brasiliensis (rubber tree)
Lineage: Eukaryota; Viridiplantae; Streptophyta; Magnoliopsida; Malpighiales; Euphorbiaceae
Source: RNAcentral
GUGAAAACCUGAAAGGGCGCUUCUAGUAGAAGACGAUGAAGAAACAAGGAGGAUUCCAAGAUCAAAGGACAGUAAAAUACACAGCACGCUUUUUAGAAGGUCACUUGAAACGAUGGCAAUUGAGAGACUUCAAAAUUAACUGAGGAAAUUUGUGAGAUUUUAUUUCUGUACUCUUAGCCACAAAAUUGUACCUUUGCUCUUUUGAUAAUUAUCUUCUUACACCAUGAAUAAAUUUGUGCAUAUCUCGUCUACUUUGGUUUAUGCGCUAUUAAUUUGUUGAAAGCUUUCUUAUAAGAUGAGAAUCUAAACACAG